This 368-nucleotide ribosomal RNA is filed under the name uncultured organism. RNAcentral's name for it is "bacterial SSU rRNA". It matches the Rfam family "Bacterial small subunit ribosomal RNA", at positions 526 to 896 of the family's 1533-position model. The record is from RNAcentral.
CGAAGGUGGCAAGCGUUGUUCGGAUUUACUGGGCGUACAGGGAGCGUAGGCGGUUGGAUAAGCCCUCCGUGAAAUCUCCAGGCUUAACCUGGAAAGUGCAGAGGGGACUGUUCAGCUAGAGGACGGGAGAGGAGCGCGGAAUUCCCGGUGUAGCGGUGAAAUGCGUAGAGAUCGGGAGGAAGGCCGGUGGCGAAGGCGGCGCUCUGGAACAUUUCUGACGCUGAGGCUCGAAAGCGUGGGGAGCAAACAGGAUUAGAUACCCUGGUAGUCCACGCCUUAAACGAUGGAUACUAAGUGUCGGCGGGUUACCGCCGGUGCCGCAGCUAACGCAGUAAGUAUCCCGCCUGGGAAGUACGGCCGCAAGGUUG